UACGUAGGUGGCAAACGUUGUCCGGAAUUACUGGGCGUAAAGGGCGAGUAGGUGGUUUAUUAAGUCAGAAGUGAAAACUCCGGGCUCAACUCGGAGACUGCUCCUGAAACUGGUAGACUUGAGUGCAAGAGAGGGAAGUGGAAUUCCUAGUGUAGCGGUGAAAUGCGUAGAUAUUAGGAGGAACACCAGUGGCGAAGGCGACUUCCUGGCUUGUAACUGACACUGAGGCGCGAAAGCGUGGGGAUCAAACAGG
This 253-nucleotide ribosomal RNA is filed under the name Desulfofarcimen sp. Its description in RNAcentral is "partial 16S ribosomal RNA". It matches the Rfam family "Bacterial small subunit ribosomal RNA", at positions 524 to 776 of the family's 1533-position model. RNAcentral also lists the same sequence under 1 other name. Lineage: Bacteria; Bacillati; Bacillota; Clostridia; Eubacteriales; Peptococcaceae. The record is from RNAcentral.